Molecule: non-coding RNA, 170 nt
Organism: Camelina sativa (false flax)
Lineage: Eukaryota; Viridiplantae; Streptophyta; Magnoliopsida; Brassicales; Brassicaceae
Source: RefSeq, a predicted model, not a curated record
GAAAAUGUUUUCUUUUUCUUCCCUCGGCGAAAUCGGAAGAAAUCUACAACACUUGGGACUUCAUCUCACCUGCGAUCUUCUUCUAAGGAUCCGACAUGAUGACGAACCCAAACCCGACCAUUGAUUGAAAGCAGCUUCGCCGGAAAGAUGGAAUAUGGAUGUGUUGAUAU